RNAcentral lists this ribosomal RNA (831 nucleotides) under Triticum aestivum (bread wheat). Its description in RNAcentral is "partial small subunit ribosomal RNA". Lineage: Eukaryota; Viridiplantae; Streptophyta; Magnoliopsida; Poales; Poaceae. The record is from RNAcentral.
AUGGCGCUUCGCACGUUCGCGUCGAGGACGAGGAGCGCCGCUCUCCAUCUGGCGGCGCCGGCGCCGAGGUUCUCGCCGCCGGCGAAGGGCUUCUCUACUUCGGCCGCCCCACGCGCCGUCUUCAGCAAGACCGCCUCACUUAACUACUCAAGCUGGAGUGCCGGAAGCAGCUUUGCCAACACUGCUGUUCAGCAGGCGCUUGUGUACCCAAGCCCAGCCACCAGUGCGGCAAGCAGCCUCGUUAGCGCUGCUCGUGUUCAGCAGGCACGGUACUACUCAGCCGGUGCUGUGGUGAUCGACGAGGAGACUGUCCAAGUGCUAAUCACCGGGGUGGCCAAGUGUAAUUCAGUGGCAAGCAAAUGCCUUGCGGAGAUCCAUACGGUGCAGGAUCUGCAAAUCAUCACCCUCAUUGUCAUUUUGUCUGGUAUUGCGGGGGCCUGGUAUGUUGGACAGCAAGUAAUUGAUCGAGGGUCUGAGAUCCUGGGCCAGGUGCAAAAGCAUGCCCCGGAAAUCUUGGGCGCCGUCUGCGACGAGAUGGUGUACCAGCUGAAGAUACCCUUCCUUGGCAGCGGGAGGCGCCUCGUCUUGCAAGACCAUUGGUUCAAUGACCCGGAGAAGUCGCUGACGAGGUAUGAGCAGAGGAUGAGGCGUGAGGCUGCGAGGCAAGAGAUGGACCGGCUUCGACUCGAGGAAUUCAAUCGCGCCCAGGAGGAGAAGAAGCGCGAGGCUGCGCAAAUGUACGAGCAGUCCUUGGCAAGGAAACGAGUCAACGACCAGCUGCUCAAGGACAAGCUUCGUGAGGAGAGGAUACGGCAGUUGACGGGACAGUAG